Molecule: transfer-messenger RNA, 353 nt
Filed under: Acidimicrobiales
Lineage: Bacteria; Bacillati; Actinomycetota; Acidimicrobiia
Also listed under: 1 other name
Description: JAKACA01 sp021796455 Standard tmRNA
Rfam family: transfer-messenger RNA
About the family: Bacterial tmRNA, also known as 10Sa RNA or SsrA, is named for its dual tRNA and mRNA-like properties.
Source: RNAcentral
GGGGGUGACAGGCUUCGACUCCGGUCGUCGAGGUGGGAGAAGCGAGCCGUGGUCUCCGGAACCACGUUAAAGAGCCGGAAACCAACACAAACGCCGAGCACCAGCUCGCGAUUGCCGCCUAAAUAACGGCAACGUCUGUCCGGUCCUAGCCCCACGGACCGGUGGCAGGCGUCAUCAAGUGGGGCUUACUCGAGCGAGGCUGCUGGCACGUCGCCCGAGGAAACUUCUGUCAGCUGGAGACCCGUCCGGGUGCCGGUAGCCGGAUGAGACUUGAGACCCCACUGCCGGCUGCGCUCGGAGAAGUCCCAUCAAGAAGCCGGAGGACGCGGGUUCGAUUCCCGCCACCUCCACCG